This 596-nucleotide ribosomal RNA is filed under the name Bacillus sp. PCAM14. RNAcentral's name for it is "bacterial SSU rRNA". It matches the Rfam family "Bacterial small subunit ribosomal RNA", at positions 150 to 731 of the family's 1533-position model. Lineage: Bacteria; Bacillati; Bacillota; Bacilli; Caryophanales; Bacillaceae. The record is from RNAcentral.
CGGGAAACCGGGGCUAAUACCGGAUGGUUGUUUGAACCGCAUGGUUCAAACAUAAAAGGUGGCUUCGGCUACCACUUACAGAUGGACCCGCGGCGCAUUAGCUAGUUGGUGAGGUAACGGCUCACCAAGGCAACGAUGCGUAGCCGACCUGAGAGGGUGAUCGGCCACACUGGGACUGAGACACGGCCCAGACUCCUACGGGAGGCAGCAGUAGGGAANNNUCCGCAAUNNNCGAAAGUCUGACGGAGCAACGCCGCGUGAGUGAUGAAGGUUUUCGGAUCGUAAAGCUCUGUUGUUAGGGAAGAACAAGUACCGUUCGAAUAGGGCGGUACCUUGACGGUACCUAACCAGAAAGCCACGGCUAACUACGUGCCAGCAGCCGCGGUAAUACGUAGGUGGCAAGCGUUGUCCGGAAUUAUUGGGCGUAAAGGGCUCGCAGGCGGUUUCUUAAGUCUGAUGUGAAAGCCCCCGGCUCAACCNGGGAGGGUCAUUGGAAACUGGGGAACUUGAGUGCAGAAGAGGAGAGUGGAAUUCCACGUGUAGCGGUGAAAUGCGUAGANAUGUGGAGGAACACNAGUGGCGAAGGCGACUCUCUG